Molecule: ribosomal RNA, 452 nt
Filed under: uncultured Desulfobulbus sp.
Lineage: Bacteria; Pseudomonadati; Thermodesulfobacteriota; Desulfobulbia; Desulfobulbales; Desulfobulbaceae
Description: bacterial SSU rRNA
Rfam family: Bacterial small subunit ribosomal RNA
Source: RNAcentral
UGGAGUAUGUGGUUUAAUCGAUGCAACGCGAAGAACUUACCUGGUCUUGACAUCCCGGAGACCCUUAGGAAACUAGGGGUGCUUCCAUCUGAAGAAUCUGGAGACAGGUGCUGCAUGGCUGUCGUCAGCUCGUGUCGUGAGAUGUUGGGUUAAGUCCCGCAACGAGCGCAACCCUUGCCUUUAGUUGCCAGCAGUUCGGCUGGGCACUCUAAAGGGACUGCCGGUGUUAAACCGGAGGAAGGUGGGGGAUGACGUCAAGUCCUCAUGGCCUUUAUGACCAGGGCUACACACGUACUACAAUGGCCGAUACAAAGGGCAGCGACACUGCGAGGUGAAGCCAAUCCCGUAAAAUCGGUCUCAGUCCGGAUUGGAGUCUGCAACUCGACUCCAUGAAGUUGGAAUCGCUAGUAAUCGUGGAUCAGCAUGCCACGGUGAAUACGUUCCCGGGCCUU